GCACCCGUAGCUCAGCUGGAUAGAGCGCUGCCCUCCGAAGGCAGAGGCCACAAGUUCGAAUCUUGUCGGGUGCGCCA
RNAcentral lists this transfer RNA (77 nucleotides) under Acinetobacter baumannii. RNAcentral's name for it is "tRNA-Arg". It matches the Rfam family "tRNA". Rfam says of the family: Transfer RNA (tRNA) molecules are approximately 80 nucleotides in length. Their secondary structure includes four short double-helical elements and three loops (D, anti-codon, and T loops). Lineage: Bacteria; Pseudomonadati; Pseudomonadota; Gammaproteobacteria; Moraxellales; Moraxellaceae. RNAcentral also lists the same sequence under 21 other names. The record is from RNAcentral.